GACGAACGCUGGCGGCGCGCCUAACACAUGCAAGUCGAACGAGCGAGAGAGAGCUUGCUUUCUCGAGCGAGUGGCGAACGGGUGAGUAACGCGUGAGGAACCUGCCUCAAAGAGGGGGACAACAGUUGGAAACGACUGCUAAUACCGCAUAAGCCCACGACCCGGCAUCGGGUAGAGGGAAAAGGAGCAAUCCGCUUUGAGAUGGCCUCGCGUCCGAUUAGCUAGUUGGUGAGGUAACGGCCCACCAAGGCGACGAUCGGUAGCCGGACUGAGAGGUUGAACGGCCACAUUGGGACUGAGGCACGGCCCAGACUCCUACGGGAGGCAGCAGUGGGGAAUAUUGCACAAUGGGGGAAACCCUGAUGCAGCGACGCCGCGUGGAGGAAGAAGGUCUUCGGAUUGUAAACUCCUGUUGUUGAGGAAGAUAAUGACGGUACUCAACAAGGAAGUGACGGCUAACUACGUG
RNAcentral lists this ribosomal RNA (466 nucleotides) under uncultured bacterium. RNAcentral's name for it is "partial 16S ribosomal RNA". It matches the Rfam family "Bacterial small subunit ribosomal RNA", at positions 28 to 507 of the family's 1533-position model. The record is from RNAcentral.